UACGUAGGGUGCGAGCGUUAAUCGGAAUUACUGGGCGUAAAGCGUGCGUAGGCGGUUGCGUAAGUCUGAUGUGAAAUCCCCGGGCUUAACCUGGGAAUGGCAUUGGAGACUGCUCGACUAGAGUCCGUUAGAGGGGGGUAGAAUUCCACGUGUAGCAGUGAAAUGCGUAGAGAUGUGGAGGAAUACCGAUGGCGAAGGCAGCCCCCUGGGAGGAGACUGACGCUCAAGCACGAAAGCGUGGGGAGCAAACAGG
RNAcentral lists this ribosomal RNA (253 nucleotides) under uncultured bacterium. RNAcentral's name for it is "partial 16S ribosomal RNA". It matches the Rfam family "Bacterial small subunit ribosomal RNA", at positions 524 to 776 of the family's 1533-position model. The record is from RNAcentral.